Molecule: ribosomal RNA, 253 nt
Filed under: uncultured bacterium
Lineage: Bacteria
Description: partial 16S ribosomal RNA
Rfam family: Bacterial small subunit ribosomal RNA
Source: RNAcentral
UACGUAGGGUGCGAGCGUUAUCCGGAAUUAUUGGGCGUAAAGAGCUCGUAGGCGGCUUGUCGCGUCUGCCGUGAAAGUCCGGGGCUCAACUCCGGAUCUGCGGUGGGUACGGGCAGACUAGAGUGAUGUAGGGGAGACUGGAAUUCCUGGUGUAGCGGUGAAAUGCGCAGAUAUCAGGAGGAACACCGAUGGCGAAGGCAGGUCUCUGGGCAUUAACUGACGCUGAGGAGCGAAAGCAUGGGGAGCGAACAGG